GACAGAGGCCUCAAGCGUUAGGCGGAAUCACUGGGCUUAAAGCGUGUGUAGGCGGAUCGUUAAGUACCUUGUGAAAUCCCACGGCUCAACCCGUGGAACUGCUGGGUAUACUGGCGAUCUUGAGCCACCUAGGGGCGAGCGGAACAAGCGGUGGAGCGGUGAAAUGCGUAGAUAUCGCUUGGGAACGCCAAUGGUGAAAACAGCUCGCUGGGGUGUGCUGACGCUGGAGACACGAAGCCAGGGGAGCGAACGGG
RNAcentral lists this ribosomal RNA (254 nucleotides) under uncultured bacterium. RNAcentral's name for it is "partial 16S ribosomal RNA". It matches the Rfam family "Bacterial small subunit ribosomal RNA", at positions 524 to 776 of the family's 1533-position model. The record is from RNAcentral.